AAAUCCCUCAGCUUUUCUUUGUUUGGUAAAGGCUUUAUUUCUUCUUCAUGUUUGAAGGAUAUUUUCACCAUGUGUCCUAUUCUAAGUUCUCCAGGGUUGAUUUUAGGAGCAGAAGACCACAGCCUGAACUUGAUUAUCAUCUUGGCAGCUACAGAAAGGCUGAGAACUGACAUUGCCAUCACAUCUGUUCACUUCUCCCACUGAAAAUUGGUAUGGUGGUACUGAUGAAGUAAUUGAAACUACCAGAACUUGGGAAUGCCUUGGACAGAGGUAAGAAUUUGC
Molecule: long non-coding RNA, 282 nt
Filed under: Homo sapiens (human)
Lineage: Eukaryota; Metazoa; Chordata; Mammalia; Primates; Hominidae
Description: HSALNT0408930
Source: RNAcentral